CCUACGGGUGACAGCAGUGGGGAAUAUUGCACAAUGGGGGAAACCCUGAUGCAGCGACGCCGCGUGAGUGAAGAAGUAUCUCGGUACGUAAAGCUCUAUCAGCAGGGGAGAAAAUGACGUUACCUGACUAAGAAGCCCCGGCUAACUACGUGCCAGCAGCCGCGGUAAUACGUAGGGGGCCAGCGUUAUCCGGAUUUACUGGGUGUAAAGGGAGCGUAGACGGCAGCACAAGUCUGGAGUGAAAUCCCGGGGCUUAACCCCGGAACUGCUUUGGAAACUGGGCGGCUGGAGUGCAGGAGGGGCAAGCGGAAUUCCUAGUGUAGCGGUGAAAUGCGUAGAUAUUAGGAGGAACACCGGUGGCGAAGGCGGCUUACUGGACUGGAACUGACGUUGAGGCUCGAAAGCGUGGGGAGCAAACAGGAUUAGAUACCCCAGUAGUC
RNAcentral lists this ribosomal RNA (440 nucleotides) under uncultured bacterium. Its description in RNAcentral is "partial 16S ribosomal RNA". It matches the Rfam family "Bacterial small subunit ribosomal RNA", at positions 338 to 795 of the family's 1533-position model. The record is from RNAcentral.